Cinara cedri is the source of this 413-nucleotide non-coding RNA. Lineage: Eukaryota; Metazoa; Arthropoda; Insecta; Hemiptera; Aphididae. The record is from the annotation of a GenBank genome assembly.
GCAUGGACGUCAUUAUUAAUUAUGAUCAAGAUCUUUAAAAUCGUAUAAUAAAACAAUAUCGUAUUCGUUUUCAAAGGAUAACAAUAUUUUCCAAUUACUUUGAGGAACAUGGGCGCACAUAGGAGGUACUUAGCACCCACAGACUUCAAAUUAACACCCCGGGUUUCCCUGAAUAAUCUAUAUCAGUAUUUUACCAAUUAUUUGUAAAUUAUCGUGGUUUAUUGGUUUGAAUAAAAUGUAUAUUUAUUCCCAUUUCAAGUUCGAGAAUUCGCGAUUAAAACAACGGCGUGGCACAAUUCAGUUAUCGUUUAAAUAUUAAACAGCAAUCGUCCAAUAUAUCAUUACAUCUCAAUUUAGAUUAUUUACAUUGAGACGUCCCGGUUCGGUGAUCCGGCCUUGUGUGGUCACCGUUC